This 551-nucleotide ribosomal RNA is filed under the name uncultured bacterium. Its description in RNAcentral is "bacterial SSU rRNA". It matches the Rfam family "Bacterial small subunit ribosomal RNA", at positions 305 to 845 of the family's 1533-position model. The record is from RNAcentral.
CGGCCGCGUCGACACGGAAGUCUGACCGAGCAACGCCGCGUGAGGCAGCAGUAGGGAAUCUUCGGCAAUGGACGGAAGUCUGACCGAGCAACGCCGCGUGAGUGAAGAAGGUUUUCGGAUCGUAAAGCUCUGUUGUAAGAGAAGAACGAGUGUGAGAGUGGAAAGUUCACACUGUGACGGUAUCUUACCAGAAAGGGACGGCUAACUACGUGCCAGCAGCCGCGGUAAUACGUAGGUCCCGAGCGUUGUCCGGAUUUAUUGGGCGUAAAGCGAGCGCAGGCGGUUAGAUAAGUCUGAAGUUAAAGGCUGUGGCUUAACCAUAGUACGCUUUGGAAACUGUUUAACUUGAGUGCAAGAGGGGAGAGUGGAAUUCCAUGUGUAGCGGUGAAAUGCGUAGAUAUAUGGAGGAACACCGGUGGCGAAAGCGGCUCUCUGGCUUGUAACUGACGCUGAGGCUCGAAAGCGUGGGGAGCAAACAGGAUUAGAUACCCUGGUAGUCCACGCCGUAAACGAUGAGUGCUAGGUGUUAGACCCUUUCCGGGGUUUAGUCG